AUUGAACGCUGGCGGCAGGCCUAACACAUGCAAGUCGAACGAGUGGCGGACGGGUGAGUAAUGUCUGGGAAACUGCCCGAUGGAGGGGGAUAACUACUGGAAACGGUAGCUAAUAACGCAUACCAUCGGAUGUGCCCCGAGGGGAGUAGCUAGGAGGUGGGGUAAAGGCUCACCUAGGCGACGAUCCCUAGCUGGUCUGGGAGGAGGACCAGCAAAACUGGAACUGAGACACGGUCCAGACUCCUACGGGAGGCAGCAGUGGGGAAUAUUGCACAAUGGGCGCAAGCCUGAUGCAUCCAUGCCGCGUGUAUGAAGAAGGCCUUCGGGUUGUAAAGUACUUUCAGCGAGGAGGCGUUACUCGCAGAAGAAGCACCGGCUAACUCCGUGCCAGCAGCCGCGGUAAUUC
RNAcentral lists this ribosomal RNA (406 nucleotides) under uncultured bacterium. RNAcentral describes it as "partial 16S ribosomal RNA". It matches the Rfam family "Bacterial small subunit ribosomal RNA", at positions 30 to 526 of the family's 1533-position model. The record is from RNAcentral.